This is a long non-coding RNA of Melanotaenia boesemani (Boeseman's rainbowfish), 332 nucleotides long. RefSeq lists it as uncharacterized. The record is from RefSeq and is a predicted model, not a curated record. The transcript has 3 exons. Lineage: Eukaryota; Metazoa; Chordata; Actinopteri; Atheriniformes; Melanotaeniidae.
AGCAGCCAUCAACCUCUGCUCCCCCACUUCCCUCUGCAGAAAACAACACCGGUGAAUGCAGCCCCAUCCAAGCCUCUGAAGCAGAGGAAGGCAGCUCCAGUGAUCCCACCAGGCAAAGGUCAACUCCCCAGUUCUCCACAUCUUUGAGAAUCCGGAUGCAGGAAGAAAACCUGUAUGCCAAGUUUCCUCCUGAGACAUCAGUGUUGCAGCAGUUUAGAAAUCAUUUGGUUUCUGUGCUUCAGAUUCCAAACUGCCAGCAGGAGGUAGACAACGUGUCCACAAUGCUGAGGUACAUGCAGCCAACUGGAAAUGAGGUCAGCUUGGACUUCCUC